UUGCAUUUGACCUCAAAUUCAGGUAG
This 26-nucleotide ribosomal RNA is filed under the name Hyphoderma setigerum. RNAcentral's name for it is "partial 28S ribosomal RNA". Lineage: Eukaryota; Fungi; Basidiomycota; Agaricomycetes; Polyporales; Hyphodermataceae. The record is from RNAcentral.